AGAACGAACGCUGGCGGCAGGCUUAACACAUGCAAGUCGAGCGGGUGCAGCAAUGCAUCAGCGGCAGACGGGUGAGUAACGCGUGGGAACAUACCCUCCGGUUCGGAAUAACUCAGGGAAACUUGAGCUAAUACCGGAUACGGCCAUUGAUGUAAGAAUUGGCGGCGAAAGAUUUAUCGCCGGAGGAUUGGCCCGCGUCCGAUUAGCUAGUUGGUGUGGUAACGGCGCACCAAGGCGACGAUCGGUAGCUGGUCUGAGAGGAUGAUCAGCCACAUUGGGACUGAGACACGGCCCAAACUCCUACGGGAGGCAGCAGUGGGGAAUAUUGGACAAUGGGCGCAAGCCUGAUCCAGCCAUGCCGCGUGAGUGAUGACGGCCUUAGGGUUGUAAAGCUCUUUCGCUCGGGACGAUAAUGACGGUACCGAGAGAAGAAGCCCCGGCUAACUUCGCGCCAGCAGCCGCGGU
Molecule: ribosomal RNA, 465 nt
Filed under: uncultured bacterium
Lineage: Bacteria
Description: SSU rRNA
Rfam family: Bacterial small subunit ribosomal RNA
Source: RNAcentral